GGGGAUCGCAAGACCUCGCGCGAGUGGAGCGGCCGUAUACAGAUUAGCUAGUUGGUGAGGUAAAGGCUCACCAAGGCGACGAUCUGUAGCUGGUCUGAGAGGACGACCAGCCACACUGGGACUGAGACACGGCCCAGACUCCUACGGGAGGCAGCAGUGGGGAAUUUUGGACAAUGGGGGAAACCCUGAUCCAGCCAUGCCGCGUGCAGGAUCAAGGCCUUCGGGUUGUAAACUGCUUUUGUACGGAACGAAAAGGUCUUUUCUAAUAAAG
RNAcentral lists this ribosomal RNA (271 nucleotides) under uncultured beta proteobacterium sewCLONE1. RNAcentral describes it as "partial 16S ribosomal RNA". It matches the Rfam family "Bacterial small subunit ribosomal RNA", at positions 199 to 465 of the family's 1533-position model. Lineage: Bacteria; Pseudomonadati; Pseudomonadota; Betaproteobacteria. The record is from RNAcentral.